Transfer RNA from Tuber melanosporum (Perigord truffle), 91 nucleotides. It matches the Rfam family "tRNA". Rfam says of the family: Transfer RNA (tRNA) molecules are approximately 80 nucleotides in length. The record is from Rfam. Lineage: Eukaryota; Fungi; Ascomycota; Pezizomycetes; Pezizales; Tuberaceae.
GGGCGCAUGGUUUAGGGGUAUAAUAUCUCAUUCGCAAGUCCUGAGAGACUGAAUGUUGAGAUGGUCCUGGGUUCGAUUCCCAGUACGUCCA